AUGCACGACACGGCCUACACCAUGUUCAACCCGGAUCGUUCAGGUUUGUCUAUAUGGCAAGUCUCAAAUCAGUUUCUUUUUCAGGUCCAUAAAAUGGAAUCAAUUUUUUUCACACACUGGCAUCACCAUAGAAGGCAUGCAUGCCAAGUUUCAGUGCUUUCUGACAUUCUAUGCAUUUUCUAUGGUUUCCUCGUGAAAAAGGCAGGCAUGAACGCCUACUAUGGUCAUGUUCACUUGCAUACUGUGUCGGAAUUCAUUCAAACCAUGCAUGGAUGGCAUUAUGGUCAUAUCCACUUGCUUGCAAAGUUGGGUUCAUUUGAAGAUGUCCAAAAUCAGACCAUGUACAACAAAGGGUGUUCGGGUAGGGCCAGAAGGGACCGUUUGUAA
This 387-nucleotide ribosomal RNA is filed under the name Triticum aestivum (bread wheat). RNAcentral describes it as "partial small subunit ribosomal RNA". Lineage: Eukaryota; Viridiplantae; Streptophyta; Magnoliopsida; Poales; Poaceae. The record is from RNAcentral.